UGUCUUCAAUAUAUAGAGAGUCGGCCUGCUCGGUGAUAAAUUGUUUUAACAGCUGCGGUAUUUUAACUGUACUAAGGUAGCAUAAUAAUUUGCCUUAUAAUUUGAGGCUAGAAUGAAUGGUUUGACGAAGGUUAAUCUGUCUCUAUCCUAUUUUUUAGAAUUUAAUUUUUAUAGUGAAAAAGCUUAUAUUUUUUAAAGGGACGAGAAGACCCUACUGAGCUUAUAAUUUUAUUAUUAUUUGUUUAUAUAUAGGAAGUAAAUAUAUAAAUUUUAAUUGGGGUGAUUAAGGAAUAAGAUGUUAAUAAAGUAACUUCCUUAAGUUAAAUAUUGUUAGAUGAAGUAACCARAUACUAUUGCUUAUAAUAUAGCUACCAUAGGGAUAACAGCGUAAUUUAUUUAGAGAGUUCUUAUCAAUAAAUAAGAUUGCGACCUCGAUGUUGGAUUAAAGUAACCUUAAGGUGCAGCACUUAAAGGAAACUGUCGAUUAACU
Molecule: ribosomal RNA, 490 nt
Filed under: Joubiniteuthis sp. JMS-2004
Lineage: Eukaryota; Metazoa; Mollusca; Cephalopoda; Oegopsida; Joubiniteuthidae
Description: partial 16S ribosomal RNA
Rfam family: Bacterial large subunit ribosomal RNA
Source: RNAcentral